AAAACAUGUCCUUUAGAACUGAAUUUAAGGUCUGACCUGCCCACUGAAACAUUAAAUGGCCGCAGUAUUUUAACUGUGCAAAGGUAGCAUAAUCAUUAGUCUUUUAAUUGGAGGCUUGUAUGAAUGGUUGGACAAGAUAUAUAUUGUUUCAUGUAAAUUUAUAGAAUUUUAUUUUUUAGUUAAAAAGCUAAAAUAAAAUUAAAAGACGAGAAGACCCUAUAGAUCUUUAUAAUUAUUAAGUUUUAUUUAUUAAGAAUAAUUUAUAUUUAAUUUAUAAAAUUAUUUUAUUGGGGUGAUAGUAAGAUUUAUUUAACUCUUAUGUGCAUAAUACAUAGAUUAAUGAUUAGUUGAUCCAAUAUUAUUGAUUAGUAAAAUAAGUUACCUUAGGGAUAACAGCGUAAUUUUUUUAGAGAGUUCAUAUCGAUAGAAAAGAUUGCGACCUCGAUGUUGGAUUAAGAGAUAGAUUUGGGCGCAGCCGUCAAAUU
Molecule: ribosomal RNA, 485 nt
Filed under: Prosoeca sp. 3 GLT-2023a
Lineage: Eukaryota; Metazoa; Arthropoda; Insecta; Diptera; Nemestrinidae
Description: partial large subunit ribosomal RNA
Rfam family: Bacterial large subunit ribosomal RNA
Source: RNAcentral